CAUCCCCAUGUUCUUCAAGUACAUCGAUUACAAAUAUUGGUUCAGGUUCAAGUCUCAAAUUAUGGUCCACUUGCUCACGUAAUGUAAGGUCUCGUAUAUCAUUCCUUAAGGCACGUACACAGCGCAAUAACUCAAGUGCUGUAUGCCGAAUCUGGCUAUCCACAGAACUAAGGAAGAUAAGACCCACUGCAUCAAUCUCAGAUGUGCGAAACUCAAUUAUUUCUGAUUGAUGAAAAGAAGACUUCUUAAAUCCUUCAUUUCCCUGCCCCCCACGCUUUGUG
This 281-nucleotide unclassified non-coding RNA is filed under the name Hevea brasiliensis (rubber tree). Lineage: Eukaryota; Viridiplantae; Streptophyta; Magnoliopsida; Malpighiales; Euphorbiaceae. The record is from RNAcentral.